GCCUCCGUAGCUCAGUGGAUAGAGCAACCGCCUUCUAAGCGGCAGGUCGCGAGUUCGAUCCUCGCCGGGGGCG
RNAcentral lists this transfer RNA (73 nucleotides) under Acidobacteriota bacterium. Its description in RNAcentral is "tRNA-Arg". It matches the Rfam family "tRNA". Rfam says of the family: Transfer RNA (tRNA) molecules are approximately 80 nucleotides in length. Their secondary structure includes four short double-helical elements and three loops (D, anti-codon, and T loops). Further hydrogen bonds mediate the characteristic L-shaped molecular structure. tRNAs have two regions of fundamental functional importance: the anti-codon, which is responsible for specific mRNA codon recognition, and the 3' end, to which the tRNAs corresponding amino acid is attached (by aminoacyl-tRNA synthetases). tRNAs cope with the degeneracy of the genetic code in two manners: having more than one tRNA (with a specific anti-codon) for a particular amino acid; and 'wobble' base-pairing, i.e. permitting non-standard base-pairing at the 3rd anti-codon position. Lineage: Bacteria; Pseudomonadati; Acidobacteriota. RNAcentral also lists the same sequence under 1 other name. The record is from RNAcentral.